UCAACCCUCAAGCCCGGCUUGUUGUUGGACUCGGUGAGGUUAUCCUCACCGGCCUCAAAGAUAAUGACGGUGUCUGGAGGACCCUCGGUACAAUGAGCUUUCUAAGCACGUACUGAAGUGGACUUCGAGGCCCGGUCUCUUUUAACUAUUUACAA
RNAcentral lists this unclassified non-coding RNA (155 nucleotides) under uncultured Eurotiomycetes. RNAcentral's name for it is "sequence contains ITS2". Lineage: Eukaryota; Fungi; Ascomycota; Eurotiomycetes. RNAcentral also lists the same sequence under 1 other name. The record is from RNAcentral.